UCAAAAUAGUUUUCCUCACUCACCUAAAAUAUUAACUCUUACAAUUAUCAAAAUAGUUUUCCUCACUCACCUAAAAUAUUAACUCUUUCCUUUUCAUUCCCUUUCCUUUCUUUAUUCAUCAUUCUCCUCUCCCUCUUUCCUCUUUCCCCUCUCUUCACUUGUUGGUGAAGGGUUUUUUUUGUAAACACAAUGAAAUCAUGAUUCCAAUGUUUUUGGAUUUACAAUCAAAUCACGAUUCCAUUGAAUAACACAUUUGUAACACAACAAAGUUGAGAUUCCAUUGUGUUACAAAUUCGACCCUUAUGUAACACAAUAAAAUUGUGAUUUCAUUGUGUAAUAAUUCAUCUAACACAAUAGGAUCAUGAUUGAAUUUGUCAAUGGAAAUCACUUUGUGCAGGUAUACAUUAUCCACCAAAGAUACCAUUUAUUUUUGUAAGCUAAUAUUGAUUUAUUUGCUAACUUUGUCUUUUGUAUGAUAUUGUAGCUUUUUUAAGGGAUAAUUAUCUCUUGCCUUCCAUUGUACAACUAUGGAGAAAGAUAUUACACACCCGAAGUUCAUUCUUAGCAAAAGCCUUGCAUGAG
RNAcentral lists this long non-coding RNA (582 nucleotides) under Glycine max (soybean). RNAcentral describes it as "long non-coding RNA (GMAX_LNC002759)". The record is from RNAcentral. Lineage: Eukaryota; Viridiplantae; Streptophyta; Magnoliopsida; Fabales; Fabaceae.